This 253-nucleotide ribosomal RNA is filed under the name uncultured bacterium. RNAcentral's name for it is "partial 16S ribosomal RNA". It matches the Rfam family "Bacterial small subunit ribosomal RNA", at positions 524 to 776 of the family's 1533-position model. The record is from RNAcentral.
UACAGAGGGGGCAAGCGUUAUUCGGAAUUAUUGGGCGUAAAGGGCGCGUAGGCGGCCUGGCAAGUGGAAGGUGAAAUCCCUCGGCUUAACCGAGGAACUGCCUCCCAAACUGCUUGGCUUGAGACCGGGAGAGGUGAGUGGAAUUCCUGGUGUAGCGGUGAAAUGCGCAGAUAUCAGGAAGAACACCCGUGGCGAAGGCGGCUCUCUGGGACGGUACUGACGCUGAGACGCGAAAGCGUGGGGAGCGAACAGG